Long non-coding RNA from Phoenix dactylifera (date palm), 760 nucleotides. RefSeq lists it as uncharacterized. Lineage: Eukaryota; Viridiplantae; Streptophyta; Magnoliopsida; Arecales; Arecaceae. The record is from RefSeq and is a predicted model, not a curated record.
UCGCGAAGAAGGAUUCGGACAGUGCUCGGCCGGGGGAGCUCGCCGGUCGCCAGAAAAAGGAGGAGGAAGGAGAGGAGAGGAAGAGGAGGCGCUUGGUGGUGGUUCGAUUGCUAAGAGGUGGGAGAUUUAAGAGGGUUUUUCCGAAGGGGAUUAACUCGAGGAUGAGGGGGAUAAGCUCGGAAGGUAGUUGCUCCACCGCGAUUCUCGCGGCGGAUUAGCUUGAUCGAAGAGGAGGCUAGGCCUCCGACAGCGUCCGUGGAGGAGGACUCCUCCUCCUCCCCGUGUCGGGCCCUUCGAGAUUUUGGACGGAGUAGAAGAGAUCUUGGGAUCAAAGCAUGGUUGGAUCAUCAUAAGCACCCGGUGUUUGGGUUCCCAACAUUGGUUCGCUUCAGUUGGGGGACAUGCAACCCCUACUUCAAGGAUACAGUUGAAGUCAUCUGGGAGUCUGAUAAGCUGGAGGAGGAUGGCUCCAAUGAUAAUGGUGGUAAGCGGCAGUUGAAGUUGUCUAAUGUUGGUUUCACUGGAUAUAAAAAGAAAAGUGAGGAUAUUGAAUCUAGUGGUAAGGGUCGCUGUAAGUUCUUCCAGGCUCUUGAACUUGAGUUGGUUGCUAAUUUCUAGCAAUGCUGUCGACCCUGCCUUGUGGCUCAUUAACAUCAGGGCUUUAACUUGGCUUAGGCUUCCGAAUGUAAUUGUAAUCCAAGAUUACAUGUCAUGUGUGGCAGAUAUUAUACGAACAAGUUUUCAAUUCUUGUUUGGGGUU